This 4942-nucleotide long non-coding RNA is filed under the name Equus caballus (horse). RNAcentral describes it as "lncRNA (ENSECAG00000039109.3)". The record is from RNAcentral. Lineage: Eukaryota; Metazoa; Chordata; Mammalia; Perissodactyla; Equidae.
GGUUGGUGGCCAUGCUAUGGCAGCCACCCACAUACAAAAUAAAGGAAGACUGGCAUAGAUGUGAGCUCAGCAACAAUUUUCCUCAUGAAAAAAAAAACCCAAAAAUGUUGGACUUUAUACCAUUGUAAUGAUAAACAUUAAAACAUACUCAUGAAUGGAACCACGCUUAUGAGAGAGUGGCACAGAAUCAAAGAGAUUCAUUUUAAUAGAUUAACCAGAAAAAAUAAUAAUCAAAUCACACCUCAGUAGAUGCAGAAAAAGCAGUUGUUAAUAGUUAGUACCCAGUCAUAGUUUAAAAUGUUAGUAACAUCCUGGAAAGCAAGGAAUAAAAUUAUUAAAAUCUGAUUUAAAAACCUCUGCUAGAAAGAGACAGCAGGCUGGCCCCGUGGCUGAGUGGUUAAGUUCGUGCGCUCCGCUGCAGGCGGCCCAGUGUUUCAUUGGUUCGAAUCCUGGGCAUGGACAUGACACUGCUCAUCAAACCACGCUGAGGCAGCGUCCCACAUGCCACAACUAGAAGGACCCACAACAAAGAAUAUACAAUUAUGUAGCCGGGGGGCUUUGGGGAGAAAAAGGAAAAAUAAAAUCUUUAAAAAAAAAAAGAAAAGAAAGAUACAGCAAACAAUCCACAGACUAGGUAAAGUACAGAGCAUUCCUGGAAUGACAGGCAAGAUGCAGAUUUCCACCAUUCUUGCACAUAUUCAGCUUUAUAUCUAAGGUCAUAACCAGCCCAGUGGGUCGAGAAAAAGCGGGAAAUUUGGUGAAAAAGAUACAAAUUAUAAUUAUUUGCCCAGGAUACCUGCCUACAUUAAAAAACCAGGAAAAUUUGCAAACAAUCAGAAAUGUUACAGAUUUCACCAAGGCUGCUGCUGGACAACAGAUCACCUCCCACAACUCAAAAGAGACCUAUUCACCAGCAACAACUUCUUACAGAAAAAAAAUGAUUUCUUUUCAAAAGAGCCCUCUCAGAACAAAAACAAAGACUGGGUAAUUGAAGGACAAAUCUACAAAUAAUCGUCAAGGUCAUUCUGCAUAAAAUGGUAAACUUUUAUUGGGGGGCAUUAAAUAUCUGAACAUAUGGGGAGAUAUAACUUGCCUACGAAUGGGAAAGUUUAACAAGAAGCUGAUUCGUCCAAAUUCACUUGUAAACUCUAAACAAUGCUGAUCUGAAUGCUACCUGCCCUUUGUGUCUGUGUGUGGACUUGAUAAAGUUUUGCCCCCAAAUCAUAUAAGCAAAUAAUAUAAAUACAAUGUAAUACGUCAAUUAUAUCCCAAAAGAAUAAUAUGGAAUAAAUUCUCAACUAUUCUAAAAUUUAUGUGGAAGAACAGGAUAUUUUGAAAAACAUGAAGGAAAGGCUUUCUCUGUAUGCCCUUCAGAAAGGUGAAAUGAUAAAAAGCUGAUAAAUGGUGUGGGUUGACAGGGGUCAGGGCUAAAGGUCAGAGUGUAGACUGGGGUAUCCAUGAUGGAGAUUAAAUGUUUUAUACGUUUAAAACAUGACCAAGUAGCCAGGAUCCUGGGAAUGAAUCGAGGAAGAAACUCUCAUCCUGGUCAAACGAGAUGACAGUUGAGGGGGUUGUCACAGAAUCCUUCACAGUCAUGGGAGUGGGAGGCAGCCUAAGGGCAUUACUGAAGGAAGAUGCCAGCAACACGUGGAGAUGCACACCAGGGAAUAUGAUGCAGCAGUGAGAAGCAAUGGGAUAAAUACACUCAGUGUCACACAGUUUUAUAAAUAGUGGUGUGCAAAAAAUAAACAGAAUGAAAUUUAAAAUACAAUCUUAUUUAUGUACAUUAAAAACAUAUGCUCCCGUGAAAAUGUCCUAGGAAAGGAGGACUCAAAUAAACAAAGUUGCUCAUAUAAAUAAGGGAAAUAAACGUUUUUGGACAUUGGAAGAGUGGUCUGUGGUGGGCAAGAAAAUGAGAGAGAGGCAGGGGAUGAGAGAGAAAAAGAAAAAGUAAUGUAGAUGGAAUAAGCUCCAGUGGGAUGGCAGCUAAACAGGUGGGCAUUUGUCUGGGGAGCAAACAAUGAGGGGAGAUGCCCUAAGUGGGUGGCGGAGACCCCACUUCAGCUCCUGGGCAGCUGGGUGUCUUACUGAUGCCCUAACAUGCACUGUGCAGAACUGCAUUCUGGGAUUCCAUAGAGGGUCUGGUGGACAGGGUGACAUACCUCCAACUGAAUGCAUUGCAGCGCUAAACCUAGGCACGCGCAUCCUGUUACCAGCUCACAGUUAUAGACAAUAUAUGAAAUAUUCCACCACGUUCACCGAGUUCAGUCAUGGGACCUUCUCUGCGAGAGAGGUCUAGUGCACUUGAUGGGUGAUGGGAUUCCUGGGCUUGUAGAUGCAGAGCUUUGCGCGCGCGCGCGCGUGUGUGCCUGCGUGUGCGCGUGCAUCUGUGUGUGUGUGUGUGGGGGGGUGCAUCAAGACAGCGGGUGAAUAGGGAUCCAUUCAACUGCUGGCGUUUGGAGAGGGCCUGAGGGCAGAGCGCAAACCUUCCAUCUGCGCUAUCGAGGGGGAAAGAUUACUGAUCCAUAGUGAGAAGCUGGAAGAUCAUUGCUGAGACGGAGAAGAACCAAAUUCCCAGGUCGGAACAGACAAGGCAGAACUCAAAUGGUGCCAAAUUCCAAUUAAACAAGUUCCCACCUCUGAACAAGAUCUAGGUUCCUGAGGUCAAAGAAAGAUUUCCCUGGAAUUGGUGUGUCUGCGCGAGGAGACCAGCCUUGUGGGCCAAGAGGGAGUUGGGACCAGUGAACAGAUGGGAGGUGACCUCGGGGGGGCUGGGAGAUAAGACUCAUGAGUUGCACGCGUUUCAGGAGAGGAGACUUGCAAGGGCAGGAGCGCGGAUGCCAGGGCACCGACACUGGCGAGGACACCCGCAGCUGGAGCGCAACGGGCGUGGAGACCAGUACGGAGUCCAGCGUCGCCACCGUUGCAGGAGAGGGCACUUGGCAGCUGAGAAGACUUGCACUGUGGGUGUCACGGGCGUUGUAGGCGACGAGACAGGUCUUGCGCACGUGGAGGCGGGCGAUGAGACUGGCGACAGGGGCUUACGCAUGGAGACUGGAGAGGAAGUCUCUGUCCGGGGCAUCACCAACGUCCGGGGCGGGAGACUGGCGUCACAGACGUCGGGGGCGUGGAGAGGGGCGAGGAGAUUGGCAGUGGGGUUUGACCAGCGAGGUGAGGAGACAGGAGCGGAGAGCUGCCUUGGGGUGUUGGUGGCGUGGAGUCGAGGGAGGAGACUGGUAUCGGAGGCAUAGAGAUGAGCGAAAAGAUGCCAGACGAGGGUGUCGAGGGCAUGGUGGGCGUGCAGACCGGUGGGGAGACCCGCGUCCCGGACGUUGCAGCGGUCUGGGGUGGGGAGAUGGCCGAGGAGAGCUGCGUUCCAGGCGUGGAGACCGGAGAUGCGGGCAACUGGAGCGUGGGCAUCGAAAAGGAGACCGUGUCUCCGGUGUUGCAGGUGUGGAGACUGGCGUGCGGGGAGUGGAGAUUGGCUUGGAGACAUGCGUCCCAGGAGUCGUGGGCAUUGAAGGAACAGGCUGACCACAGGCGGGAAAUACACCUGCAACACAUCCAUCACAGCUGACAGAAGAAUAGAACAAUGUGAUGCCCGGAGCCUCUCAUGCCUGGAGACCAACAUCCCUGGACCCCCUCAUUGCCCAUUUUCCCUCUGUAACUGCCUCAAGAUUCUCUAAACCUUGAAGAUGGGUUUUGUGAGACAUUAGUCACCUAUCUUGUGAUUAGCCGGCUAAUCUAAUUAAACUUCCUUUCUCUGUUGUGAUUAAUUGGCUCAGAUCACAGCGAGCAGAGCCAUCCCAUUGCUCAGAGUUCACCUUGGAGUCUGGGGAAUAAAACUGUGCAACAGAGUACUUGGGACAGCUAGUAAGAGCAUCACCCCCUGGCUAACACUCCCUGCCUACCUGGAAGACAGUCCCAGAUCCAGAUAAUGUGAAAUACAUGCCAUUAGGUUGGACAUCUGCUGCCUUGGACCAGUAGCUUUCCACCAGGGGAAUUUUGCCCCCAGUAGACAUCGGCAAUGUCUGGAGAUAUUUUUGGAUGUGACAGCUGGGAAGUGGGGGGGUGGGGGUGGGAGGGAUGCUACUGCCAUCUAGUGGGCAGAAACCAGGGGUGCUGCUAAACAUCCUACAACUUCCAGGACAGCCUCACACAACAAAGAGGUACCAGGCCUCAGAUGUCAAUAGUAACAAGACUGAGAAUCCUGCCAUAGAUUCUACCAUCCACUACGCUUCCUUAUUGAGGUUCUUUACCGUCAUGUUGGUUACCUCCUCUCAUAGACCCAAGAUUGGAAUGCCUUCCACCAGAUAGUCACAUGGCUCCUUCUCAUUUUAUUCAAAUCUCUGCUGAGAUAGCACCUCCUCAAAACAAAAAUAAACACAAAACCUCCCAAAGACCACCCCCAAAGUCAAAACAAAAAUACUCUCCCUAAGCAUUUUAUCUUAAAAAGCAUCCAUUGGUCUCCAUCCCUUUGUACUGCCUUCUUUUUCUUUUCUUUUCUUUUCUUUUUUUUUUUCUUUUGAGGGACAUUAGCCCUGAGCUAACAUCUGCUGUCAAUCCUCUUUUUUGCCGAGGAAGAUGGGCCCUGAGCUAACAUCCGUGCCCAUCUUCCUCUACUCUAUAUGUGGGACACUUGCCACAGCAUGGCUUGACAAGCAGUGUGUAGGUCUGCACCUGAGAUCUGAACCAGCAAACCCCAGGCCACUGAAGUGGAACGUGCUAAUUUAACUGCUGCGCCACUGGAGCGGCCCCUGCCUUAUUUGUCUUGAGCACAUUUAUCACUUCUUAGCAUCAAAUUACAUAUCUCUUUGUUGUCUUUUUCUUUUACUGAAUGUAAGAUCUAUAAAAUCAGGGCCUCUUUUGUUUACUGCUGAAUUCAUUCAUUUAUUUAACAAAUAGUAAGUGAUCGACUAUUCCAGUCACUAUCAUAGACCCC